GCCUUACCUCCCAGUGUGAUGGUAUUUGGAGAAGAGGCUUUCUUCUUCAAUGAGGUCACAGGGGUGGGGCCUGUAUGAUGGGAUUAGUGUCCGUGUAAAGAGAGGUAGAGACACCAGAGCCCAGAACUCUCUCUCUCUCUGCCUUGUGAGGACACAGCAAGGAGGCAGCUGUCUGCAAGCCAGGAGAAGAGACUUCAUGAGAACCCACCCAUAGUGACACCCUGAUCUUAGACUUUCAACCUUCACAACUGUGGGAAAAUAAAUGUCUGCUGGCUAUCCUCACAGACUACCCUCUUCCCCAAAUCUCUUUGGACUUCUCUAUAACCCAUCAACUAAAAGAUUCACAUCUGGAUCACUGGAAGCCUCCAAAGACCCAACUCAAAUACAAGAGGCAGGAUCUACAGACAUACCUUGGAAAUAUUGCAGGUGUUAUUCCAGGCCACUGCAAUGAAGUGGGUAGCCCGAUAAACUGCGCAUCCAGGAGUGAUAUUGAAGAUGUUUAACAACCAGUAUGACACUUGCCAAACCAAUCAGAAUAGACGUGGGCCCCUGACCAAUCAGAACAGACAUGGACCUCCGACCAAUCAGAACAGACAGGGGCUUCCGACCAAUCAGAAAAAAACAUGGACCUUUGACCAAUCAGAAUAGACAUGGGUGUCUGGCCAAUGGAGCAGACACGGGCCUCCAACCAAUUAGAACAGACAGGGGGGUCUGGCCAAUCAGAACAGACAUGAACCUCCGACCAAUCAGAACAGACAGGGCCUUCCGACCAAUCAGAAUGGGAGAAGGUGGAGAAGGGUCUUGAAGACCCCCUGCAGGGGCAGUUGCUAUCUCAUAACAGGAAUUCCAGGAGAGCCUAGGGAAGCUGAGGAGGGAAUAGGGGGUGCGAAGGGGGAUGGACUAGUGGCUUUCUUACCAACACAUAGGGAAGUAGUUCAGCAUUUAAACAAUGCAUACAUCAUAUCCAAACAUAUUAGCUCAAUGUCAGUAAUGUGCCCAUCACUCUCUUUCCCACCUGCCCCCCAUCCAGCUCGCCCUUGCCUUGUCCAUGUGGACCAGGAAGGAAUUAAUGAAGUCCUGCGGGGCCCUGGGGUCCAGCCUCUUGAUGUUCUCAGGGACAAAAUCUUCCAUUUCUUGAAUUUUGUUGUACACUCGAGUGUGGGUACCAGGAAAGUGUUUCAGGAUGCCGGAAAGGAGUUCAAACAUCUCCAGGGAAGAAGCAAGGAGUUCCCAGAAUCUGUUCUCUCUGGGCUGGUGCUACAAGGGUUGAGGCUGUACCUGCACAGCACAGCAAUAUCUGACAGGCUUAAUUCAUCCCGUAGCCUUCGGGAAUGUGCCUCCCAGUUGAGCACUCAUACAAAUACUCUCAGUGGCACGUGAACAAGUGCGUUGUUACCUCUGCUGGGAUUUCUCUCACAGGCCACCCUCUCCUGAGGCCUGAUUCCUACCUCCAGUUGGACUCAUUGCCUCACUUAGAAGGGUGUAGAGGGUAAGUGUGUGCACAGAAAACCGAUCUCGAUGCCUUCUUGCCUCAGUGUUAGGAGAAAAAACAUCUGAUCCCUUCCCAAGUUCCACCCAUCCCAAUUCCUGGCCCACCAUGGAAACUUUGGCCUCACCUGGUUGUAGAAAGAGCUGGCAAAAGUGGAGAGAUCAUUCAUUCAAUGUAGCAGCCUUAAGAUUCUGGGGUCCUGGUACUUAAAGUACUGGCCAAAGAUGAUGGUACAGAUGAUGUUGGCCCUGGUGGAGUGAAAGAGGAAAGUGGGAUCCAGAUAGGUCACAGGGUGAUGGGGGUGGGCGGUGGGUGGAGGACUGCAUUGUCCUUCUGGAAGGCUCUGACCUGGCUGGUGCCUUCUUAGCUUGGUUGGUUUCUUUCUCUUUCUCUUGGCCAGCCUGGCUUUCACUAUGUCUCUUAUCACACCUCUUUCUGGGCAUUUUGCACUUUGUGUCUCAUGGUUUUCUUGGGCUCUGUCUUGGUGUGACCUUCCUGGUGCACCUGUGUCUUUGUCUGGUCUUGUGUUUGAGUCUUUGUUUGAGAAUCAGCCCCUUCUACUCUGUUCUCUCUCUUUCUGUGUCCCGUCUGUCUUUGUGGCCCUGUCCUUGGCCUCACUGUCAGUCUUUGUUUCCCCUGACUCUAUUUCUCUCCUUACCUUUUUCUUUCUAAGUCUUUUCCUUAUAGUUUCUACUUCUGGAUUGAUCUUUGUUGGUAUCCUGGGUUUUUCCUCUGUCUUGCUUUCUCUGUCUGCUUUCUCCACCUCUCUGUCUCCUUCCCUGUUUUCCUCAUUAUUUUUCUCUUUUUCUGUCUCCUUCUCCCUUUCCCUGAACUUGUCUCUGCAUCUCUCUGUCUCUGGAUCUCUCUGUCCCACCCUCUGCCUGCCCCUCCAACUCCUGAGAAGUCCCCAGGGCUCACCCUGGGAUUUCCUCAGUUCCUCCACCAGACACUGAGCCUCAUCCUGGUUUCGUUUCUCAAUGUUCCGCUUCCCCAUCCCAAAGUCCCUCAUGGUGACCUGAGAGGUUUGUUGAAGGGCCUUCUAACACUUUCCAUUAGCGAAGAUCAUACCUGAUUGGUGGGAUAUAGAUGGAAGAUUGGGAGGACACAUGGGAUGUCCCCACCUCUUUUCCCCAAACCCACCCCUAUGCCCCACUCACCUCUUUCCCUGAGGAUGGGAUCAAUGAUGGCGAUGUGCCCUCAGCCAGGGAAAGCCUCAGCCUGACCCACCAGGGCCUCCCUCACUGCCUUGUACCCACACAGGUUGAUGACUGGCCCAGGUAGAUGGUGAGGGCAUCCAGUACUUCACCCGCAGCUGUGGGGGCAGGGUGCAGAUCUCACUCUCACUCCAGAGAAGAGUAAGGAAAGAGUAUCCACCCUCACACGUGGAUCACAUGUGCCAGCCUAACCAAACCACCACUACUCCCUCCCCACUGCAUCCUUAUCAGGGAAGCAUGAACACUUGAACGCUGUGGCCUCCUCCAAGCCCUUGCCCCAAAUGUCAUGUGCCCUUGCCCCAAAUGCCCUCCUCUUUCAGCUUUUACAAGAACU
Molecule: long non-coding RNA, 3037 nt
Organism: Acinonyx jubatus (cheetah)
Lineage: Eukaryota; Metazoa; Chordata; Mammalia; Carnivora; Felidae
Exons: 3
Source: RefSeq, a predicted model, not a curated record